CACUUCUAAGGAAGGCAGCAGGCGCGCAAAUUACCCAAUCCUGACUCAGGGAGGUAGUGACAAGAAAUAACAAUAAACCGGCUUAUGCCGGUUUAAUUGGAAUGAGUACAAUUUAAACAUCUUAACGAGGAACAAUUGGAGGGCAAGUCUGGUGCCAGCAGCCGCGGUAAUUCCAGCUCCAAUAGCGUAUACUAAAGUUGUUGCAGUUAAAAAGCUCGUAGUUGGAUUUCUGUGGGGACGGAGCGGCCGGCCGCAACACGCGGUUCGAGCUAGCGCUUUCCCUACAUCCUGCCGCGAACCGUGCUACCAUUAGUUUGGUGGCGCCGGGGAUCGGCUCGAUUACUUUGAGAAAAAUAGAGUGUUCAAAGCAGGCCACACGCCUUGAAUAAGUUAGCAUGGAAUAAUAACUAAGGACUUCGGUUCUAUUUUGUUGGUGUUCGGGACUGAAGUAAUGAUUGAUAGGGACAGUUGGGGCGGUCUGUAUUCCAAAGCGAGAGGUGAAAUUCUUAGACCUUCGGAAGACAAACAGCUGCGAAAGCGUUCCGCAAGGAUGUUCCCUUUGAUCAAGAACGAAAGUUGGGGGAUCGAAGACGAUCAGAUACCGUCGUAGUCUCAACUAUAAACUAUACCAGCUAGGGAUCGGCCAACGUUAUUCUAUACCGACUUGGUCGGCACCUUAUGAGAAAUCAAAGCAUCUGGGUUCCGGGGGGAGUAUGGUCGCAAGGCUGAAACUUAAAGGAAUUGACGGAAGGGCACCACCAGCCGUGGAGCCUGUGGCUUAAUUUGACUCAACACGGGAAAACUUACCAGGUCCAGACAUAGUAAGGAUUGACAGAUUGAUAGCUCUUUCUUGAUUCUGUGGGUGGUGGUGCAUGGCCGUUCUUAGUUGGUGGAGUGAUUUGUCUGGUUAAUUCCGUUAACGAACGAGACCCCAGCCUGCUAAAUAGCGCGCGUGAGCUUUGCUCGCGGCGAGCUUCUUAGAGGGACUAUGAUGCGCGAUAGCACAUGGAAGUUUGGGGCAAUAACAGGUCUGUGAUGCCCUUAGAUGUUCUGGGCCGCACACGGGCUACACUGGCGCCUGCAACGAGCAUAUCAGCUGGCCCGAGAGGGUCUUGGCUAAUCUUUUGAACCGGCGCCGUGCUUGGGAUUGACCUUUGCAAUUGUUGGUCAUGCAACGAGGAAUGCCUUGUAAACGCGAGUCAUCAGCUCGCAUUGAAUACGUCCCUGCCCUUUGUACACACCGCCCGUCGCUCCUACCGAUGAAUGUUCCGAUGAAAUUUUCGGAGAGUGCCUGUGAACUUGGCUCUGCCUUGCGAACGGGAAGCUCAAAGUCACUUAAAUCUGAACAUUUCGAGG
Molecule: ribosomal RNA, 1356 nt
Filed under: uncultured marine eukaryote
Lineage: Eukaryota
Description: SSU rRNA
Rfam family: Eukaryotic small subunit ribosomal RNA
Source: RNAcentral